Molecule: long non-coding RNA, 1462 nt
Filed under: Scleropages formosus (Asian bonytongue)
Lineage: Eukaryota; Metazoa; Chordata; Actinopteri; Osteoglossiformes; Osteoglossidae
Description: lncRNA (ENSSFOG00015029468.1)
Source: RNAcentral
AUGGAACGGGGGUGUCGACCCCCUCGCCCUGCCCCCAGGCCGCCGCCGCCGUCGCCGCCGCCACCCCCCAACCCCCCGGGACAAAGACCGAAUGACCAUCCUCAGCUGUUACUGUGUACAGGAAGACCUGGACCUGAAGGCAGGAUGCCGUAUUUCACGGGCCAACGGCAGCGGGGCUGCACGGCUGAACCGGUGUCACCAGAUGGUACCGGGCUCAAAUCCCAGUACGAGCACCGUCCUUUUACCCUGGAGGGGCACCAGAGUGGAGUUGGUUCAAGAAACGGCGAGAUGUAUAAAUGGGUAAAAUAUUGCAUGAAGUCAAAAGUUACAUUUGCAAAUAAUAGACUAAAUGUAGAAGCAGAGGCGUCCAGCAAUGAGCCUUUACCAGCCAGAAGAUCCCUCUCUUCACCAGGAUCCCCCCCCAGAAGCAGGAGGACACGAUUUUCACAAUUUGUUCUCUAACCAGACAGAGCAACCUUGGUGUUAAUGUCACUCUUCUAUACAGGGAGGUCCAGUGCAGUUUUUUAAAAAUAGUAUUUCUCCUAGCUGAUGUUUUACUCUGUGCCAGUUUUUUUUUUUUUUUUUUUUUCAAGUUUACAUCUGCUAGCAACAUAGAAAAUACAUUAAAAGUAAAAAAAAAAAAAAAAAAAAAAAAAAAGUAUAACAUUUAUAUUAAAAAACUAUCAACUUGGCUCCCUAAUUUUAUGGUUAAUUUAUUAUAUGGUACCAAAAUAUGCAUUUAUACAUUCAUUGCUAUCAAUUACUGAAUGUGAGCACUUGCACCAAUUCUCUUUGGCGCCGAGGUACUGUACACAUUAAUGUCUUUAAGCCUUUUGAAUCGCAUUUCGUGUAAUUCGCAGCUGCUAAUGAAACGAGUAAGAGUAAGGAGGGCUCUUUGUGAUGUAAUUUUGAUGUUUUCUAGAGGCGGGUUUUAUACUAUGUAAAGCUGCUUACCAGAAAUAAGAGAAAACAGCAAAUACUGCCACUUGCGGGUGAUGGCCUACUUGGAGUACACUGCCAAUGUACUUGUUUUUCUUUCUGUAAACGAAAUAGCUUUAACGUAAAACGUGAGAAAUAACCUAGACGGUGGCUUUGGAGUAUGAAGCGUGGUACCUGGGCUAGAAAAAGAGUUUAAAGUGUUUAAGAGGCCGCAGCGACACUGGAGGAGCUUCGUGGAGGACACCUUUAAGAGCGUCAUGGAUGAGACUUCCAACGAAUGGUGCCAUUAUGUGAGCGAAACCACUCGGCAUCUAACAAACGCAAUGGACGAUACUUGUGUGGAUUACCUUCUUGAACUGCCAUUCUGACCUGGACGAUGAUGGAACUGCUUGCUAGAGGGGAGCCGAAAGUCAAAACGUUGGCCGAGGACGACAAAAAGGGGAAGAAAGGAGGGAAAGAUGAAGGUGGACGUCUUCAGCUGCGGACGUUCCACCGUGCGGCUCAAGACGCGAGAGCUACGUAC